Molecule: ribosomal RNA, 467 nt
Filed under: uncultured bacterium
Lineage: Bacteria
Description: partial 16S ribosomal RNA
Rfam family: Bacterial small subunit ribosomal RNA
Source: RNAcentral
GAUGAACGCUGGCGGCGUGCUUAACACAUGCAAGUCGAACGGAAAGGCCCAAGCUUGCUUGGGUACUCGAGUGGCGAACGGGUGAGUAACACGUGGGUGAUCUGCCCUGCACUUCGGGAUAAGCCUGGGAAACUGGGUCUAAUACCGGAUAGGACCACGUUUUGGAUGGUGUGGUGGAAAGUUUUUCGGUGUGGGAUGAGCUCGCGGCCUAUCAGCUUGUUGGUGGGGUAAUGGCCUACCAAGGCGUCGACGGGUAGCCGGCCUGAGAGGGUGUACGGCCACAUUGGGACUGAGAUACGGCCCAGACUCCUACGGGAGGCAGCAGGGGGGAAUAUUGCACAAUGGGCGCAAGCCUGAUGCAGCGACGCCGCGUGGGGGAUGACGGCCUUCGGGUUGUAAACUCCUUUCGCUAGGGACGAAGCGUUUUUGUGACGGUACCUGGAGAAGAAGCACCGGCUAACUACGUG